Molecule: ribosomal RNA, 468 nt
Filed under: uncultured bacterium
Lineage: Bacteria
Description: partial 16S ribosomal RNA
Rfam family: Bacterial small subunit ribosomal RNA
Source: RNAcentral
GACGAAUGAUGGAGGAGGGAGGAACACAUGCAAGUCGAACGGAAAGGCCCUGCUUUUGUGGGGUGCUCGAGUGGCGAACGGGUGAGUAACACGUGAGUAACCUGCCCUUGACUUUGGGAUAACUUCAGGAAACUGGGGCUAAUACCGGAUAGGAGCUCCUGCUGCAUGGUGGGGGUUGGAAAGUUUCGGCGGUUGGGGAUGGACUCGCGGCUUAUCAGCUUGUUGGUGGGGUAGUGGCUUACCAAGGCUUUGACGGGUAGCCGGCCUGAGAGGGUGACCGGCCACAUUGGGACUGAGAUACGGCCCAGACUCCUACGGGAGGCAGCAGUGGGGAAUAUUGCACAAUGGGCGGAAGCCUGAUGCAGCAACGCCGCGUGCGGGAUGACGGCCUUCGGGUUGUAAACCGCUUUCGCCUGUGACGAAGCGUGAGUGACGGUAAUGGGUAAAGAAGCACCGGCUAACUACGUG